AGAACCUUUAACAUUAACCCCGUGAGGUUAAGAAGGUAUGGCGAAUCUUGAGGAGACUCAGGGCUAACUCAAACCUCUUUACCGAACGCGGUAAAGAGGUUUUUUGU
The sequence is a regulatory RNA element, 107 nucleotides long. It matches the Rfam family "PyrR binding site". Rfam says of the family: This family represents the PyrR binding site and terminator structure. This RNA structure is found upstream of a variety of genes involved in pyrimidine biosynthesis and transport. The record is from Rfam.